Phthorimaea operculella (potato tuberworm) is the source of this 76-nucleotide non-coding RNA. Lineage: Eukaryota; Metazoa; Arthropoda; Insecta; Lepidoptera; Gelechiidae. The record is from the annotation of a GenBank genome assembly.
GCGCCCGUAGCUCAGUUGGCAGAGCAGUGCGACGGUACCCUACCCACGGCCCCGGGCUCAAGACCCGGCGGUCGCU